GUUAUCUUAAAUUCCUAGACACACAUACAGAAAAGGAAACAGAAGGAAAAGGGGAAAAGAAAGAAAGGGAAAAGAGAGAAGAAGGGGGAAUCGGGGAAGAAGAAGGGAAGGAAAGGGAGAAGAGCACGCCGUCACUGCACCCUGCCCGCCUGCCACCGCCGUUCCAUGGAGCCGCCGCCAUUGUCGCGCGAACCGGAGGGUGUGGAGACGGAGAAGAGUGUGCACGAGAGAGGAGUAGCCACCAUCGUCGAGGACUCCAUCACCGCCGCUGAAGGUCCUGACCGUCGAGCUCGUCGUCGCCGUCGCACCUCCCAUCACUGCUGCCAGAGAGCUCGAAGAGAAAGAAAAGGUUCGCGCGGAGAGAGAAACACGAUGAGGGAGGAGGAGGUUGCCUCUGUUGCUGCCAAGCCGUCGCUGGCGGGGUUAGGUUCGCCGUCACUGUUGAGCUGUGUGCCGCCGUUGGUAUUUGGAUCGCUACUCUGUUUCAGCUGCAACUCGCCACUGUACUGGAGCGUGAUCCAAUUGAUAGAGUGAGGAAGCUAUUAUUGGCUCAUGACAUUGCUUCUGAGAAGGAGUUGAAGGGACAAAAUUCUGCGACUUGGAAACAAAUUUUGCGGCUCUUCUAAGAGCCAAGUCCUUAGGAGUUCCUCAAUAGAUAAAGAGAGAGCAAACGAUGUUGCUGAAUAUCAGUUGUGUUACAUGUUGAUUGAGAAUGCUACUUGCUGCAGCAGGUUCUUAGUCGGUAAUGGCUUAGCUAGUGUCAACGUGUAUAGAUUUUAAACUUUUAAGUUUUUUGAGUGUGCAAAUAAUGAAUUAAUUAAUUCUAAUUUGGAUUUGAAUUUAGUUUGGUGCAUUUUAAGUUGUAAAAUGAUGCAAAGCAAUGAGUUUUACUUUUUUUUUAUUAUGUAUAUUUUUCUUUAAUCAAACUUCAGUGACACAAAAAUUUGUCUGUAAAUCAAAUUUAAUGGUAAAUGUUCAAUUAGCUUUUUU
Arachis ipaensis is the source of this 990-nucleotide non-coding RNA. The record is from RefSeq and is a predicted model, not a curated record. NCBI's taxonomy places the organism in Eukaryota, Viridiplantae, Streptophyta, Magnoliopsida, Fabales, Fabaceae.